GACGAACGCUGGCGGCGUGCUUAACACAUGCAAGUCGAACGGAAAGGCCCUGCUUGCAGGGUACUCGAGUGGCGAACGGGUGAGUAACACGUGGGUGAUCUGCCCUGCACUUCGGGAUAAGCCUGGGAAACUGGGUCUAAUACCGGAUAGGAGCCAUUUUUAGUGUGAUGGUUGGAAAGUUUUUUUCGGUGUAGGAUGAGCUCGCGGCCUAUCAGCUUGUUGGUGGGGUAAUGGCCUACCAAGGCGGCGACGGGUAGCCGGCCUGAGAGGGUGGACGGCCACAUUGGGACUGAGAUACGGCCCAGACUCCUACGGGAGGCAGCAGUGGGGAAUAUUGCACAAUGGGCGCAAGCCUGAUGCAGCGACGCCGCGUGGGGGAUGACGGCCUUCGGGUUGUAAACUCCUUUCGCUAGGGAUGAAGCUUUUUGUGACGGUACCUAGAUAAGAAGCACCGGCUAACUACGUG
RNAcentral lists this ribosomal RNA (466 nucleotides) under uncultured bacterium. RNAcentral's name for it is "partial 16S ribosomal RNA". It matches the Rfam family "Bacterial small subunit ribosomal RNA", at positions 28 to 507 of the family's 1533-position model. The record is from RNAcentral.